This 657-nucleotide ribosomal RNA is filed under the name Triticum aestivum (bread wheat). RNAcentral describes it as "partial small subunit ribosomal RNA". Lineage: Eukaryota; Viridiplantae; Streptophyta; Magnoliopsida; Poales; Poaceae. The record is from RNAcentral.
AUGAUUGUCACACUAUGGGCGAUUUGGGCAGCGAGGAGAAAGAUAAUACAUGAAGGAAUUUACAAAACUCCAUUCGCUACUCAUGGUUUUGUCACUAGCUACUUGGCAGAUUUGAAACACAUACAGAAACCUAUUGACAGGUCACCGGCAACUCCAAGGGCUCGCCCAACUGCUUGGCAGCCACCACCGGAAGAUCAUGUUAAGAUUAAUGUCGAUGCGGCUGUGCCGCGUGCUGGUGGAAGGGGGGCUGUGGGAGCCGUUUGCCGAGAUGCAUCGGGUGUGUAUUUCGGGGCCUCGGCAGUUAUCUUCAACAAUAUAGAGGACCCGGAGGUGCUUGAAGUUCUAGCUACCAGGGAAGCGCUGGCGCUUGCCGAGGACUUGUACGAGCAGAAAGUUUUCAUCGCCUCGGAUUGCUUGACAGCGGUGGAGGCGAUCAAAAGAGGAACUGCAGCAGCAUAUGGAGCAGUGGUACAUGAAAUAACGGACAGAGCUCGUUUUUUCUCUUCGUGUUCUUUUAGUCAUGAAUUUAGAUCCUCGAACUUUGAGGCUCACAAUCUCGCGAAGCAUGCAUUAACGUUGGGGACCGGCCGCCAUGUCUGGUUAGGCCACCCCGGCGAUUUUUUGUUCGUCCCUGUAAACAUUGUGACGGUUGAAUAA